This 244-nucleotide long non-coding RNA is filed under the name Bos mutus (wild yak). RNAcentral describes it as "lncRNA (ENSBMUG00000020499.1)". The record is from RNAcentral. Lineage: Eukaryota; Metazoa; Chordata; Mammalia; Artiodactyla; Bovidae.
GUCCAUUUUGAGUCUGUUCUUAACAUGAUGGUCCUCAUUGUCAAGUAGACAGUCUUCUUAGAAGACUAUGGUAAUUGAAGAUAUAUAAGGUGACUGUAUAUAAGAUAUCAUCUCUCCUUUUGAUCACUGUUCCUGAUUGUGGCUUUAUCCAAGCAUUAAAUUGUGUGCCUUUUGUUCCUUGAAGAAAGAGGUAUGGUGAAGAUUGAAGUACUAUACUAUACAAUCUAUUAAGUAGUAAGUUAAU